CUUGAACUCACUUUGUAGCACAGGCUGGCCUUAAAUUCACAGCCAUCCUCCUGCCUCAGCCUUCUGAGUGCUGGGAU
Molecule: microRNA precursor, 77 nt
Filed under: Octodon degus (degu)
Lineage: Eukaryota; Metazoa; Chordata; Mammalia; Rodentia; Octodontidae
Description: miRNA (ENSODEG00000022259.1)
Source: RNAcentral